This 51-nucleotide transfer RNA is filed under the name Myotis lucifugus (little brown bat). It matches the Rfam family "tRNA", at positions 1 to 50 of the family's 71-position model. From Rfam's summary of the family: Transfer RNA (tRNA) molecules are approximately 80 nucleotides in length. The record is from Rfam by way of RNAcentral. Lineage: Eukaryota; Metazoa; Chordata; Mammalia; Chiroptera; Vespertilionidae.
GGGGGUAUAGCUCAGUGGUAGAGCAUUUGACUGCAGAUUAAACUGCUGUCA